Molecule: ribosomal RNA, 567 nt
Filed under: Vishniacozyma carnescens
Lineage: Eukaryota; Fungi; Basidiomycota; Tremellomycetes; Tremellales; Bulleribasidiaceae
Description: partial large subunit ribosomal RNA
Rfam family: Eukaryotic large subunit ribosomal RNA
Source: RNAcentral
CCGGGAUGAGCUCAAAUUUGAAAUCUGGCGUCUUUCAGGCGUCCGAGUUGUAAUCUAUAGAGGCGUUUUCCGCGCCGGACCGCGUCCAAGUCUCUUGGAAUAGAGUAUCAAAGAGGGUGACAAUCCCGUACUUGACGCGACAACCGGUGCUCUGUGAUACGUUCUCAAUGAGUCGAGUUGUUUGGGAAUGCAGCUCUAAAUGGGUGGUAAAUUCCAUCUAAGGCUAAAUAUUGGCGAGAGACCGAUAGCGAACAAGUACCGUGAGGGAAAGAUGAAAAGCACUUUGGAAAGAGAGUUAAACAGCACGUGAAAUUGUUAAAAGGGAAACGAUUGAAGUCAGUCGUGUGGGAAGUAUUCAGCCGUCUCUGGCGGUGUAUUUGCUUCUCACGGGUCAACAUCAGUUUGAUCCGGUAGAAAAAGGCGGGAAGAAGGUGGCACCCUCGGGUGUGUUAUAGCUUCCUGUCAUAUGUGCCGGACCAGACUGAGGAACGCAGCUUGCAGCAAUGCCGGGGUUCGCCCACGUACAAGCUUAGGAUGUUGACAUAAUGGCUUUAAACGACCCGUCUU